Molecule: long non-coding RNA, 699 nt
Organism: Lathyrus oleraceus (garden pea)
Lineage: Eukaryota; Viridiplantae; Streptophyta; Magnoliopsida; Fabales; Fabaceae
Exons: 5
Source: RefSeq, a predicted model, not a curated record
GAUUGAUGCUCAAAGGUUCCAAAAGAGAAAGCUUUCAGAAGCACUUUUCGGAUGCUCAGAAGUGCUUUUCCUAUCUGAUGAUAGAUUUCGAAACGGGCGUUUCCAUGGCUUCAUUGCAACCUCUGAUAUGGUUUUGUUGGCUAAUUGUUUCUGCAGGAGGACAUGUUCAACACCAUUAUGAUAAGGUGAAUCAUUUGGCUUGAUCUCAGCAUUCGAUACCGAAGCUUCGGGCAAACCAUGAACAUCCAAAAAUAAAUUCGUGGCAUUUUCAGAAGUGCUUGAAUGAACUUGCUGCGUGUUAAUAGUCUCCAGAUCAGUAGAUUCAUCCCAAGCACGGGAUACACGCCUGACCACUAUCUUCAGAUGUUGCCUUUAUCCACCUCCAGAUUAUCAAGAGUAUAUUGUCUCAUCAAAUUCCAUCUCCUUUCCACAAACUGGACGAUUGUCACUUCUCUCCAUCCAUUCAUAGAUGCAUAAUGACGAGAGCAUUUUGUCAUUAUCUUGGGAUUCUCUUUAGUACAUUCUUCAAGGCUAGUUGGACAAGAUAUCCUCUUCUUUUGAUGAUGACGUGAAAACAAACCCAACUCCAGUUGUCUGCUGAGUUUAGAGGCUCUGCAUCAUAUGGUAAGGGCCUUGGAGGAGAACGGUACACGUCCGGUAGAGGAUUAUCAAGUGACGCUGCAGAUGUCAUGGAUGUUG